Molecule: long non-coding RNA, 579 nt
Filed under: Homo sapiens (human)
Lineage: Eukaryota; Metazoa; Chordata; Mammalia; Primates; Hominidae
Description: HSALNT0330664
Source: RNAcentral
CUGCCUUCCAUGUAAAAUGGGACUUGCUCCUCCUUGUCUUCCACCAUGAUUGUGCAGCCUCCCCAGCCAUGUGAAACUGUACAAAUACAGUCAGUUCAGAGUUGACACUCACUUUCAAGGAUGUUUUGUCCUGGCUGAUUCCGAUGGCGUGUGAAUUGCUGGUCUGGAUCCCGGGAUUCAUGACUACAACCCCAAAAUACGGCACUUCUGCCUGUGUGGAAACAACAGAAGCAGGAAGAUUACUCUCAUUUUUCUCUGGCCUUUUUCCCUUGAAGCAGACUAUAAAGAAGAAUCUGACCUUCCUCUGAAGGAAACCUUCAUUCCAGACAUACCCUCCCUAUAUCCAAAGAACAUCUUUAUCUUUAAAGACACAGAGAUGUCAAGAAGAAUCUGAACAAACAGGCUUUGCCAGAUCCCCCAGUUUACUAAUAUUGAACCAUACUCUUUUGUUCUUCAAUCAUACUUCUGCAUGAUGUCCAUAAAAAUACACAGUUUUCCCCAUUCCUUUUGGGUAUUUAUUCCCGAAAGCUUCUGUGUCAUGUAAAACUUACAUUAAAUAAAUUUGUAUGCUUUUCCUUG